This is a transfer RNA of Ovis aries (sheep), 72 nucleotides long. It matches the Rfam family "tRNA". Rfam says of the family: Transfer RNA (tRNA) molecules are approximately 80 nucleotides in length. Their secondary structure includes four short double-helical elements and three loops (D, anti-codon, and T loops). Further hydrogen bonds mediate the characteristic L-shaped molecular structure. tRNAs have two regions of fundamental functional importance: the anti-codon, which is responsible for specific mRNA codon recognition, and the 3' end, to which the tRNAs corresponding amino acid is attached (by aminoacyl-tRNA synthetases). tRNAs cope with the degeneracy of the genetic code in two manners: having more than one tRNA (with a specific anti-codon) for a particular amino acid; and 'wobble' base-pairing, i.e. permitting non-standard base-pairing at the 3rd anti-codon position. The record is from Rfam. Lineage: Eukaryota; Metazoa; Chordata; Mammalia; Artiodactyla; Bovidae.
UCCCUGGUGGUCCAGUGGUUAGGACUCAGCACUUUCACUGCUGGAGCCUGGGUUCAAUCCCUGCUCAGGGAA